GCCGAGGUGGCGGAAUUGGCAGACGCGCAUGAUUCAGGUUCAUGUGGGCGCAAGCCUGUGCGGGUUCAAGUCCCGCCCUCGGCACCA
Molecule: transfer RNA, 87 nt
Filed under: Kosmotoga sp.
Lineage: Bacteria; Thermotogati; Thermotogota; Thermotogae; Kosmotogales; Kosmotogaceae
Also listed under: 2 other names
Description: tRNA-Leu
Rfam family: tRNA
About the family: Transfer RNA (tRNA) molecules are approximately 80 nucleotides in length. Their secondary structure includes four short double-helical elements and three loops (D, anti-codon, and T loops).
Source: RNAcentral